CCUUAGUUAGCCGGCGCUUCUUCUGCAGGUCCGUCACUCUCGCUUCUUCCCUACUGAAAGAGGUUUACAACCCGAANGCCGUCAUCCCUCACGCGGCGUCGCUGCAUCAGAGCUUGCGCCCAUUGUGCAAUAUUCCCCACUGCUGCCUCCCGUAGGACA
Molecule: ribosomal RNA, 159 nt
Filed under: uncultured bacterium
Lineage: Bacteria
Description: partial 16S ribosomal RNA
Source: RNAcentral